RNAcentral lists this transfer RNA (68 nucleotides) under Ctenophorus rufescens. RNAcentral describes it as "tRNA-Ile". Lineage: Eukaryota; Metazoa; Chordata; Lepidosauria; Squamata; Agamidae. The record is from RNAcentral.
GGAAGCGUGCCCGAAUACAAGGACUACUUUGAUAAAGUAGACAUGGGAUCAACAAAUUCCCCACUUCC